CCUACGGGAGGCAGCAGUGAGGAAUAUUGGUCAAUGGGCGGAAGCCUGAACCAGCCAAGUAGCGUGCAGGAUGACGGCCCUACGGGUUGUAAACUGCUUUUAUCCGGGAAUAACGCGCCUUACUUGUAGGGCUUUGCAUGUACCUUAUGAAUAAGGACCGGCUAAUUCCGUGCCAGCAGUCGCGGUAAUACGGAAGGUCCGGGCGUUAUCCGGAUUUAUUGAGUUUAAAGGGAGCAUAGGCCGCAUGUCAAGCUUGCUGUGAAAUGUCCGGGCUCAACCCGGGCCUUGCAGCGCGAACUGGCGUGCUUGAGUCCGCGGAAGGCAGGCGGAAGUAGGCGUGUAGCGGUGAAAUGCUUAGAGA
Molecule: ribosomal RNA, 361 nt
Filed under: uncultured bacterium
Lineage: Bacteria
Description: partial 16S ribosomal RNA
Rfam family: Bacterial small subunit ribosomal RNA
Source: RNAcentral